Zophobas morio is the source of this 335-nucleotide long non-coding RNA. RefSeq lists it as uncharacterized. The transcript is spliced from 4 exons. NCBI's taxonomy places the organism in Eukaryota, Metazoa, Arthropoda, Insecta, Coleoptera, Tenebrionidae. The record is from RefSeq and is a predicted model, not a curated record.
UUAAUUAAUAAAUAUUAAAAUUAAUUUUUUUUUUGCUUGCGUACCUCAAUUUAUAGUGAUCUUGUUCCCAAUUUACUACUUCCAUUGGUGAUGACUUCUACGGCUUAUCCUAUUUAUUAACUUGGCUCUGCAAAAAACCAAAUUUACGGAAAUUAAAGCGUUUCGUCAUCUUCCUGAUUUGCGAGAUCUACAUUUAGCCGAAAAUAAUAUAAAAGGGCUUCACGGUUACAUGUUUAAAUCUCUCAGUCAGUUGACAAAUUUGAAUCUUUUUAGCAUUGGCAUAACUUUAAUAUAUAGAGAAAGUUUUUCAAGGCUUGGAAUUUACUAAAAAAAAA